GAUGAACGCUAGCGGCAGGCCUAACACAUGCAAGUCGAGGGAGAAGCCCUUCGGGGCAGAAACCGGCGCACGGGUGCGUAACGCGUAUGCAACCUACCUUUCACAGGGGGAUAGCCCGAAGAAAUUUGGAUUAAUACCCCAUAAUAUUAUUGGAUGGCAUCAUUUGAUAAUUAAAAUUACGAUGGUGAAAGAUGGGCAUGCGUCCUAUUAGCUAGUUGGAGUGGUAACGGCACCCCAAGGCUACGAUAGGUAGGGGUCCUGAGAGGGAGAUCCCCCACACUGGUACUGAGACAGGGACCAGACUCCUACGGGAGGCAGCAGUGAGGAGUAUUGGUCAAUGGUCGGAAGACUGAACCAGCCAUGCCGCGUGCAGGAAGAAUGCCUUAUGGGUUGUAAACUGCUUUGAUAUGGGAAGAAUAAGGAGUACGCGUACUUUGAUGACGUACCAUAUGAAUAAGCU
RNAcentral lists this ribosomal RNA (460 nucleotides) under Capnocytophaga granulosa. RNAcentral's name for it is "bacterial SSU rRNA". It matches the Rfam family "Bacterial small subunit ribosomal RNA", at positions 28 to 492 of the family's 1533-position model. Lineage: Bacteria; Pseudomonadati; Bacteroidota; Flavobacteriia; Flavobacteriales; Flavobacteriaceae. The record is from RNAcentral.